UACGAAGGGGGCUAGCGUUGUUCGGAAUUACUGGGCGUAAAGCGCGUGCAGGCGGCUUCUCAAGUCAGGGGUGAAAGCCCAGAGCUCAACUCUGGAAUUGCCCUUGAGACUGAGAGGCUUGAGUACGGGAGAGGUGAGUGGAAUUCCCAGUGUAGAGGUGAAAUGCGUAGAUAUUGGGAAGAACACCGGUGGCGAAGGCGGCUCACAGGCCCGUUACUGACGCUCAGGCGCGACAGCGUGGGGAUCAAACAGG
This 253-nucleotide ribosomal RNA is filed under the name uncultured bacterium. Its description in RNAcentral is "partial 16S ribosomal RNA". It matches the Rfam family "Bacterial small subunit ribosomal RNA", at positions 524 to 776 of the family's 1533-position model. The record is from RNAcentral.